This 72-nucleotide transfer RNA is filed under the name Camelus bactrianus (Bactrian camel). It matches the Rfam family "tRNA". From Rfam's summary of the family: Transfer RNA (tRNA) molecules are approximately 80 nucleotides in length. Their secondary structure includes four short double-helical elements and three loops (D, anti-codon, and T loops). RNAcentral also lists the same sequence under 2 other names. The record is from Rfam by way of RNAcentral. Lineage: Eukaryota; Metazoa; Chordata; Mammalia; Artiodactyla; Camelidae.
AGGGAUAUAGCUCAAUGGUAGAGCACAUGUUUAGCAUGCACAAGACCCUGGGUCCAAUCCCCAGUACCUCCA